Molecule: small nuclear RNA, 107 nt
Filed under: Prolemur simus (greater bamboo lemur)
Lineage: Eukaryota; Metazoa; Chordata; Mammalia; Primates; Lemuridae
Source: RNAcentral
GUGCUCACUUCAGCAGCACAUAUACUAAAACUGGAAUGAUACAGAGAAGAUCAGCAUGGCCCCUGCACAAGGAUGACAUGGAAAUUUGUGAAGCAUUCCAAGAAAAA